GAUGAAGAACGUAGCGAAAUGCGAUACUUGGUGUGAAUUGCAGAACCCCGCGAAUCAUCGAGUUUUUGAACGCAAGUUGCGCCCGAAGCCAUUCGGCCGAGGGCACGUCUGCCUGGGUGUCACGCAUCGUUGCCCCCCCAAACUCCGGUUCGGGCGGGGCGGAAGUUGGCCUCCCGUGUGUGCCUGCGCGCGCGGUUAGCCCAAAAGCGAGUCCUCGGCGACGAGCGCCACGACAAUCGGUGGUUUUUUUACCCUCGUUCCUCGUCGUGCGUGUCCCGUCGCCCGAACGCGCUCUUGUGACCCUCACGCGUCGCCUCGGCGGCGCUCCCAACGCGACCCCAGGUCAGGCGGGACUACCCGCUGAGUUUAAGCAUAUCAAUAAGCGGAGGA
This 390-nucleotide unclassified non-coding RNA is filed under the name soil metagenome. RNAcentral's name for it is "partial contains 5.8S ribosomal RNA, internal transcribed spacer 2, and large subunit ribosomal RNA". The stretch from base 1 to 122 matches the Rfam family "5.8S ribosomal RNA", at positions 35 to 154 of the family's 154-position model. The record is from RNAcentral.